Molecule: ribosomal RNA, 406 nt
Filed under: uncultured bacterium
Lineage: Bacteria
Description: partial 16S ribosomal RNA
Rfam family: Bacterial small subunit ribosomal RNA
Source: RNAcentral
AUUGAACGCUGGCGGCAGGCCUAACACAUGCAAGUCGAACGAGUGGCGGACGGGUGAGUAAUGUCUGGGAAACUGCCUGAUGGAGGGGGAUAACUACUGGAAACGGUCGCUAAUACCGCAUACCAUCAUUUGUGCCCAGAGGGGAUUAGCUUGUUGGUGGGGUAACGGCUCACCAAGGCGACGAUCCCUAGCUGGUCUGAGAGGAUGACCAGCAACACUGGAACUGUGACACGGCCCGGACUCUUACGGGAGGCAGCAGUGGGGAAUAUUGCACAAGGGGCGCAAGCCUGAUGCAGCCAUGCCGCGGGUAGGAAGAAGGCCUUCGGGUUGUAAAGUACGUUCAGCGGGGAGGCGUUACCCGCAGAAGAAGCACCGGCUAACUCCGUGCCAGCAGCCGCGGUAAUAC